ACUGAAAGAUGAGACAAAUUUUUCAACUGAACCUCAAGUUUUUACUCAGCUCUAAUUGUUU
This 61-nucleotide small RNA is filed under the name Salix viminalis (osier). The record is from RNAcentral. Lineage: Eukaryota; Viridiplantae; Streptophyta; Magnoliopsida; Malpighiales; Salicaceae.